Molecule: small RNA, 389 nt
Filed under: Enterobacter hormaechei
Lineage: Bacteria; Pseudomonadati; Pseudomonadota; Gammaproteobacteria; Enterobacterales; Enterobacteriaceae
Description: cspA thermoregulator
Rfam family: cspA thermoregulator
Source: RNAcentral
CGGUUUGCAAGACAGACCUUAUGAAAGCAGUUUUAGUAAAGCAGUCCGUAGUUCAGGUGUUAUCCAACAGAUUUCCCUUCUUCGUGAGUCUCCUCCUAAGUGCCCAAGUAAGUCCCACUCUAUCAGACCAAAUUCGCCGCGUUGUGUGGCUCUCGAAUCAAGAAGGUAAUAUCUAUGUCUAACAAAAUGACUGGUUUAGUAAAAUGGUUUAACGCUGAUAAAGGCUUCGGCUUUAUCACUCCUGCUGAUGGUAGCAAAGAUGUGUUCGUUCACUUCUCUGCAAUCCAGAGCAAUGACUUCCGUACCCUGGAUGAAGGCCAGAAAGUUGAGUUCUCUAUCGAGAAUGGCGCUAAAGGCCCGGCAGCAGCAAACGUUGUAGCCUUAAGCUA